This 462-nucleotide transfer RNA is filed under the name uncultured bacterium. RNAcentral's name for it is "16S-23S ribosomal RNA intergenic spacer". The stretch from base 74 to 146 matches the Rfam family "tRNA". The record is from RNAcentral.
CUAAGGAUAAGGAACACGUUGGUUAAGUCUUAUUUAGUUUUGAGAGGUCUUGCAAGACGCAGAGACAAACUGUGGGGCCUUAGCUCAGCUGGGAGAGCGCCUGCUUUGCACGCAGGAGGUCAGCGGUUCGAUCCCGCUAGGCUCCAUUAUCUAGGAUAGAAAGAGAUUAAUCUCUUGUUCAACUAGAUAAAUGAUAUUUGAAUACGAACCUAAACUUACUAGAAAUAAGUCAAAACCAUCUCGUGUCUGAAGACACAUCACUGGUUUGUUCCUUAUUUUACGCAAGUUUUACGACAAGUCGUAGCGGUUCUUAAUAUCAUAAUAGUCCAUUGAAAAUUGAAUAUCUAUAUCAAAUUCCACGAUCAUAAAAAUGAUUGUAGAAAAGUAACAAGAAAUAAACCGAAAAAAAGAUAAACGCGAACAUAUUAAAAAAAAUCAAGAAGGUCUAAGGACUGGAAAUAA